UACGUAGGGGGCUAGCGUUGUCCGGAAUCAUUGGGCGUAAAGAGCGUGUAGGCGGCCCGGUAAGUCCGCUGUGAAAGUCGGGGGCUCAACCCUCGAAUGCCGGUGGAUACUGUCGGGCUAGAGUGCGGAAGAGGCGAGUGGAAUUCCUGGGUGUAGCGGUGAAAUGCGCAGAUAUCAGGAGGAACACCAAUUGCGAAGGCAGCUCGCUGGGACGUUACUGACGCUGAGACGCGAAAGCGUGGGGAGCAAACAGG
Molecule: ribosomal RNA, 254 nt
Filed under: uncultured bacterium
Lineage: Bacteria
Description: partial 16S ribosomal RNA
Rfam family: Bacterial small subunit ribosomal RNA
Source: RNAcentral